This 478-nucleotide ribosomal RNA is filed under the name uncultured bacterium. RNAcentral's name for it is "partial 16S ribosomal RNA". It matches the Rfam family "Bacterial small subunit ribosomal RNA", at positions 28 to 523 of the family's 1533-position model. The record is from RNAcentral.
GACGAACGCUGGCGGCGUGCUUAACACAUGCAAGUCGAACGGUAAGGCCCUUCGGGGUACACGAGUGGCGAACGGGUGAGUAACACGUGGGUGAUCUGCCCUGCACUUCGGGAUAAGCCUGGGAAACUGGGUCUAAUACCGGAUAGGACCACUGCCUGCAUGGGUGGUGGUGGAAAGCUUUUGCGGUGUGGGAUGGGCCCGCGGCCUAUCAGCUUGUUGGUGGGGUGAUGGCCUACCAAGGCGACGACGGGUAGCCGGCCUGAGAGGGUGACCGGCCACACUGGGACUGAGAUACGGCCCAGACUCCUACGGGAGGCAGCAGUGGGGAAUAUUGCACAAUGAGCGCAAGCCUGAUGCAGCGACGCCGCGUGAGGGAUGACGGCCUUCGGGUUGUAAACCUCUUUCAGCACCGACGAAGCGCAAGUGACGGUAGGUGCAGAAGAAGCACCGGCUAACUACGUGCCAGCAGCCGCAGUAA